AGAGUUUGAUCCUGGCUCAGGAUUAACGCUGGCGGCGUGCAUAACACAUGCAAGUCGAACGAUGAAACUUUAAUGAACCCUUCGGGGAGAAUUAAAGCGGAUUAGUGGCGAACGGGUGAGUAACGCGUGAGUAACCUGCCUUACACAAGGGGAUAGCCUUUGGAAACGAAGAAUAAUACCCUAUAAAACCAUAAAAGCACAUGCAAUUAUGGUCAAAGUAUUAGCGGUGUAAGAUGGACUUGCGUCUGAUUAGCUAGUUGGUGAGAUAAAAGCCCACCAAGGCAACGAUCAGUAGCCGGCUUGAGAGAGUGUACGGCCACAUUGGGACUGAGACACGGCCCAGACUCCUACGGGAGGCAGCAGUGGGGAAUUUUGCACAAUGGGGGAAACCCUGAUGCAGCGACGCCGCGUGAUUUAGAAGGCCUUCGGGUUGUAAAAAUCUUUUGUAUAGGAAGAAAAUGACAGUACUAUACGAAUAAGGUCCGGCUAAUUACGUGCCAGCAGCCGCGGUAAUACGUAAGGACCGAGCGUUGUCCGGAAUCAUUGGGCGUAAAGGGUACGUAGGCGGCUAGAAAAGUUAAAAGUCAAAGGCUAUAGCUCAACUAUAGUAAGCUUCUAAAACUAUUUAGCUUGAGAGAUGGAAGGGAAAGUGGAAUUCCUAGUGUAGCGGUGGAAUGCGCAGAUAUUAGGAGGAAUACCGGUGGCGAAGGCGACUUUCUGGCCAUUUUCUGACGCUGAGGUACGAAAGCGUGGGUAGCAAACAGGAUUAGAUACCCUGGUAGUCCACGCCGUAAACGAUGAGUGUUAGUGUCUGGAGUCAAAUCUGGGUGCCGCAGCAAACGCAUUAAACACUCC
This 855-nucleotide ribosomal RNA is filed under the name uncultured bacterium. Its description in RNAcentral is "bacterial SSU rRNA". It matches the Rfam family "Bacterial small subunit ribosomal RNA", at positions 8 to 870 of the family's 1533-position model. The record is from RNAcentral.